GAGUGAACGCUGGCGGUAGGCCUAACACCUGCAAGUCGAACGGCAGCACAGUAAGAGCUUGCUCUUACGGGUGGCGAGUGGCGGACGGGUGAGGAAUACAUCGGAAUCUACUUUUUCGUGGGGGAUAACGUAGGGAAACUUACGCUAAUACCGCAUACGACCUACGGGUGAAAGCAGGGGAUCUUCGGACCUUGCGCGAUUGAAUGAGCCGAUGUCGGAUUAGCUAGUUGGCGGAGUAAAGGCCCACCAAGGCGACGAUCCGUAGCUGGUCUGAGAGGAUGAUCAGCCACACUGGAACUGAGACACGGUCCAGACUCCUACGGGAGGCAGCAGUGGGGAAUAUUGGACAAUGGGCGCAAGCCUGAUCCAGCCAUACCGCGUGGGUGAAGAAGGCCUUCGGGUUGUAAAGCCCUUUUGUUGGGAAAGAAAAGCAGCAGGUUAAUACCCCGCUGUUCUGACGGUACCCAAAGAAUAAGCACCGGCUAACUUCGUG
RNAcentral lists this ribosomal RNA (493 nucleotides) under uncultured bacterium. RNAcentral's name for it is "partial 16S ribosomal RNA". It matches the Rfam family "Bacterial small subunit ribosomal RNA", at positions 27 to 507 of the family's 1533-position model. The record is from RNAcentral.